UACAGAGGCCACAAGCGUUAGUCGGAAUCACUGGGCUUAAAGGGUGCGUAGGCGGACCUGUAAGUGUUCUGUGAAAUCCCUCGGCUCAACCGAGGAAUUGCAGGGCAUACUGCGGGUCUUGAGGCAUGUAGGGGCGGGCAGAACAGUAGGUGGAGCGGUGAAAUGCGUAGAUAUCUACUGGAAUGCCGAUGGGGAAGCCGGCCCGCUGGGCAUGUCCUGACGCUGAGGCACGAAAGCGUGGGGAGCAAACAGG
This 253-nucleotide ribosomal RNA is filed under the name uncultured bacterium. RNAcentral describes it as "partial 16S ribosomal RNA". It matches the Rfam family "Bacterial small subunit ribosomal RNA", at positions 524 to 776 of the family's 1533-position model. The record is from RNAcentral.